UGGCCCUUGGUGUAAUUGGUAACACACCAGACUCUGGAUCUGGGUUUCGGGGUUCGAGUCCCUGAGGGCCAGCCA
This 75-nucleotide transfer RNA is filed under the name bacterium. RNAcentral describes it as "tRNA-Gln". It matches the Rfam family "tRNA". Rfam says of the family: Transfer RNA (tRNA) molecules are approximately 80 nucleotides in length. Their secondary structure includes four short double-helical elements and three loops (D, anti-codon, and T loops). Further hydrogen bonds mediate the characteristic L-shaped molecular structure. tRNAs have two regions of fundamental functional importance: the anti-codon, which is responsible for specific mRNA codon recognition, and the 3' end, to which the tRNAs corresponding amino acid is attached (by aminoacyl-tRNA synthetases). tRNAs cope with the degeneracy of the genetic code in two manners: having more than one tRNA (with a specific anti-codon) for a particular amino acid; and 'wobble' base-pairing, i.e. permitting non-standard base-pairing at the 3rd anti-codon position. The record is from RNAcentral. RNAcentral also lists the same sequence under 2 other names.